CAUUCAUUCAUUCAUUCAUUCAUUCAUUCAUUCAUUCAUUCAUUCAUUUGUUCAUUCUAUGCUGUCCGCAGUUCUUGCUGCUUCUUGCGCGUUCCAUAGUUCUCUUGGAAUUUCUGUUUUCGUUGUAGUUUACGCGCUCCUCUGGCACUGCGCAGAGAGACGCAUACUAUUCUUGGCAAGUUCGGUUCAUGUUGUUUUAUGCUGAAGAUAAUGCUGAAUUCACUACACUAUAGUACAGUAGUUAUCGAGGCUCACAGCUUUGUAAGUCUUAUCAUAUCUCACAAGUUCAAUCGUUAAUGUUAUAGUACAAUUAUAAUAAUCCAGCACUAUAUGAUGUUUUCAUGUUGUAUGGUAAUUCACAUACGAAUGUAAUUAUGCUCUAUUAUGAUAGUUAUGCAAAUGAUUAAUGACAUGAUGAUACAGUAUGUAAUUUUAUUGUUAUUUACAGUUACCACACAAACAAAUGCGAGUGAUCAAACAGGGUUUGUGAACAAGCAAUAAAAGGGUUAUACUAGAGGAGCAAUUUUGAACAAUUUUAACUUCAAUCUGUGUAUGGUUAAACUAACAAAUAAACAAGUACAUUGGACAUCAAAUGACGUUAUUCAUUCACGCUGAAUUUAGUAAACAAAAGGAUUGAAGCCUAUAUGAACAUUUUGUGACGAUUCAUCAACCUUUGCUGCAGCA
Molecule: long non-coding RNA, 684 nt
Organism: Anneissia japonica
Lineage: Eukaryota; Metazoa; Echinodermata; Crinoidea; Comatulida; Comatulidae
Exons: 3
Source: RefSeq, a predicted model, not a curated record